This 251-nucleotide ribosomal RNA is filed under the name uncultured bacterium. Its description in RNAcentral is "partial 16S ribosomal RNA". It matches the Rfam family "Bacterial small subunit ribosomal RNA", at positions 525 to 775 of the family's 1533-position model. The record is from RNAcentral.
ACGUAGGUGGCAAGCGUUAUCCGGAUUUAUUGGGCGUAAAGCGAGCGCAGGCGGUUUUUUAAGUCUGAUGUGAAAGCCUUCGGCUUAACCGAAGAAGUGCAUCGGAAACUGGGAAACUUGAGUGCAGAAGAGGACAGUGGAACUCCAUGUGUAGCGGUGAAAUGCGUAGAUAUAUGGAAGAACACCAGUGGCGAAGGCGGCUGUCUGGUCUGUAACUGACGCUGAGGCUCGAAAGCAUGGGUAGCGAACAG